UUAAUAAUUUUUAGUGCAACGUGAACUUUAUAAACUAUGAAGUGAUGAAAUAACAUUUUACUUGUUAAAUUCAAAGAGAGGAAAGCAUGGAUAAAACUAUCAAGUUUGUGUAUGCUAUGAUUUUAUUUAUUUCUAUGUUUCUAGCUGCAAGGAAUGUUGACGCAUACCUUAAGUGUAAAACAGUUCAUGAUUGUCCAAAAAGUCAGGUUGUGUAUAGGUGUGUUGGAAACUAUUGUCGUGCUGUUAAAAUAAGGCGAUGGAACUUAGGUUAAGUCAGUUGAUGAGUUCAAUACCAAAGAGAUUACACUUAUGUCAUGCAGGGAAAAUGGGUUCUUACACUAGCAAAAAAAUCUAUGCAAUAUACCUUUAUGCUAAAAUUGCCUCUUUUUUUAAUUUUAUUUUUGAACUUUUAUGGACCUUACAAUAAUGGAUUUGUACUCUAAGAA
Medicago truncatula (barrel medic) is the source of this 446-nucleotide long non-coding RNA. RefSeq lists it as uncharacterized. The record is from RefSeq and is a predicted model, not a curated record. Lineage: Eukaryota; Viridiplantae; Streptophyta; Magnoliopsida; Fabales; Fabaceae. The transcript has 2 exons.